This 672-nucleotide ribosomal RNA is filed under the name Triticum aestivum (bread wheat). Its description in RNAcentral is "partial small subunit ribosomal RNA". Lineage: Eukaryota; Viridiplantae; Streptophyta; Magnoliopsida; Poales; Poaceae. The record is from RNAcentral.
AUGGCGAACACGCCGGUGUUGUCCCUGCCAGAUUGCUCUCGCCCCUUCACUAUCGAGACGGAUGUGUGCGACACGGGAGUCAGAGCAGUAUUGGUUCAAGACGGCCAUUCGGUCGCAUACCUUAGCAAGGCAUUGGGGGUUCGCAACCAGCGGCUCUCCAUCUACGAGAAUGAGUUCCUCACCGUGAUCAUGGCAAUUGACAAGUGGCGCGCCUACCUCUAGCAUGAUCCCUUCGUCAUCGUCACGGACCACAAGAGCUUGUGCAGCCUCGGCGAACAACCACUGGACACGGAGCUUCAGCGCAAGGCCAUGUCUAAGUUGGUGGGACUACAAUUCUCAUUCAAGUACCUCCGUGGCAUCGACAACGAUGCAGCAGACGCGCUCUCUCGUGUUGGGCACCUACUCUCCCUCGACGCUCUGUCGACCUGCCAACCACAAUGGCUGCAAGAGGUGGCCAAUUCCAAUGAGACCGAUGCCGAUGGUCAAGACCUGCUUCAACGACUCGCCAUAUGCAGUCCCAAUAAGCAGGGCUAUGAGCUUCGUCAAGGAGUCAUUCACUUCCACGACAAGCUAUGGAUCGGAGCAAACACCGCCCUCCAAACCAAGCUGACCAGCGCACUCGAUGCCAGCGUUGUGGGUGUCCAUUCUGGAGUCACCGCCACCUACCAAUGA